This 533-nucleotide long non-coding RNA is filed under the name Homo sapiens (human). Its description in RNAcentral is "non-protein coding lnc-ADAM29-5:3". The record is from RNAcentral. Lineage: Eukaryota; Metazoa; Chordata; Mammalia; Primates; Hominidae.
AAGCCUGGCCAGCUUCUGGCCAGGAAGCGUUGUUGACUGGAUUUAAGUUGGGUUUCCUUAAGUAAUAGUAAGGGUUCUAAAAAGAUGAAGGUGUGAAGUCUAAAGAGAUGGCUGCUAGAGACGCAAGGCUUCCCACCAUUUUUUUUUUUUUUGGUCUUUCCCGUUUUACAUCUUCACAAUGAAAUAUAAUUUGAUGUUUGCCCUUGUUUGAAUACUCCAUGAAGAUGAGGAAAAUACAUGUUUGUGUCUAACAGUGUCUGGCAUGUGUGAUUUCUAUUGAGAUGGACUCAAUCUCAGAGAUUCUAUUCUCAGCUGUGUCCAGUCUACUGAGAGGCCCAUCAAAGGUUAGAGUACAAAACAUUCUCCCUGCAGUCUCACGAACUGUGAACAAAAACUGAAGUGAAAACUCAUAGUGCAUAACUCGUCAAUACUCCUGUGAUCGUAUAACCAUCAGCAAGAAAACAAAUUUGAUUGAGCCCCCAUCCAGUCCUCUUUGCGUGGAAUCAGACCUCUUUUGCAGUGGAAAGGAGCAG